GGCUGCGUAGCAUAACUGGAAAUGCUGCCGACUUUUAAUCGGUUUGAUCUGAGUUCGAGCCUCAGCCCAACCA
Molecule: transfer RNA, 73 nt
Filed under: Chloroflexota bacterium
Lineage: Bacteria; Bacillati; Chloroflexota
Description: Chloroflexi bacterium tRNA-Lys
Rfam family: tRNA
About the family: Transfer RNA (tRNA) molecules are approximately 80 nucleotides in length.
Source: RNAcentral